RNAcentral lists this non-coding RNA (24 nucleotides) under Arabidopsis thaliana (thale cress). Lineage: Eukaryota; Viridiplantae; Streptophyta; Magnoliopsida; Brassicales; Brassicaceae. The record is from RNAcentral.
GUCGCAAAUAGAUUUGUAUGCCUA